GAUGAAGAACGUAGCGAAAUGCGAUAAGUAAUGCGAAUUGCAGAAUUUCCGUGAGUCAUCGAAUCUUUGAACGCACAUUGCGCCCACUGGUAUUCCGGGGGGCAUGCCUGUCCGAGCGUCAUUGCUGCCCUCAAGCACGGCUUGUGUGUUGGGCCCCGUCCUCCGAUCCCGGGGGACGGGCCCGAAAGGCAGCGGCGGCACCGCGUCCGGUCCUCGAGCGUAUGGGGCUUUGUCACCCGCUCUGUAGGCCCGGCCGGCGCUUGCCGAUCAACCCAAAUUUUUUAUCCAGGUUGACCUCGGAUCAGGUAGGGAUACCCGCUGAACUUAAGCAUAUCAAUAAGCGGAGGA
RNAcentral lists this unclassified non-coding RNA (348 nucleotides) under soil metagenome. Its description in RNAcentral is "partial contains 5.8S ribosomal RNA, internal transcribed spacer 2, and large subunit ribosomal RNA". The stretch from base 1 to 121 matches the Rfam family "5.8S ribosomal RNA", at positions 35 to 154 of the family's 154-position model. The record is from RNAcentral.